Long non-coding RNA from Ctenocephalides felis (cat flea), 509 nucleotides. RefSeq lists it as uncharacterized. The record is from RefSeq and is a predicted model, not a curated record. The transcript has 4 exons. Lineage: Eukaryota; Metazoa; Arthropoda; Insecta; Siphonaptera; Pulicidae.
UUUAAAUAAUUAUGAGCUAUCGGGAGAAAAUUUACUUCUUCUUCAAGAUUUGGUGAAGCGUCGGGCGGCACCAGCAUCGGAUAAUUGGAGUCUUCAUGAGGUGGAUGUACGAGAUUACGCGAAUACAUAUUAAAUUGCCUUGGAAAAGUUAAAAAUAUUGCAACAAAAGGAAUAUGCGUUUUCUACGGACAAUGAAGAAACCAUAAACAGAAGGCAAGAUGUUCUAAAAAAACAAUACCGCUUGAAUAAAGGGCGUUUUGUAAAUCAGAAUAACGUCGAUCAGCAGUUGUCGGAAUGUAACAUAAAUUUAGGCAAUAAGUCGCGCAAUGCUUCAAUGUUUAAUGUCUUAAAGACAGUGAACUUGUGAAGUGUUUAUAUGGUAUAAUGACAACUGAAUCAAUUAAAAAUCCGCAGUUGAGCCCUAUUAAAGAGCAAGCAUUUAACCAAGCCCUCGGGAAGGUUAUAAAUUAUUCCCGUGAUUGGGAGAAUGGGAGAGAUCAUAGGCGGAC